UGCGAAAGCGUCGCAAGUGAACUAGGCAAAGUGAGGAAGCAAUAUUGGAUGAGCAAACAAGGAUGUUUGCGAAAGCCUGAACCGUAACAGGAUGUGAGUUGAAGGCGGUCCAAUAUUGCCCGAAACGAGCCUUUAGUUCACUCGACGCGAAGCAC
Pelotomaculum thermopropionicum is the source of this 155-nucleotide non-coding RNA. The record is from Rfam. Lineage: Bacteria; Bacillati; Bacillota; Clostridia; Eubacteriales; Desulfotomaculaceae.